Molecule: ribosomal RNA, 891 nt
Filed under: Cordyceps militaris
Lineage: Eukaryota; Fungi; Ascomycota; Sordariomycetes; Hypocreales; Cordycipitaceae
Description: LSU rRNA
Rfam family: Eukaryotic large subunit ribosomal RNA
Source: RNAcentral
AUAUCAAUAAGCGGAGGAAAAGAAACCAACAGGGAUUGCCCCAGUAACGGCGAGUGAAGCGGCAACAGCUCAAAUUUAAAAUCUGGCCCCCGGGUCCGAGUUGUAAUUUGUAGAGGAUGCUUUUGGCGAGGUGCCUUCCGAGUUCCCUGGAACGGGACGCCAUAGAGGGUGAGAGCCCCGUCUGGUCGGACACCGAGCCUCUGUAAAGCUCCUUCGACGAGUCGAGUAGUUUGGGAAUGCUGCUCAAAAUGGGAGGUAUAUGUCUUCUAAAGCUAAAUAUUGGCCAGAGACCGAUAGCGCACAAGUAGAGUGAUCGAAAGAUGAAAAGCACUUUGAAAAGAGGGUUAAAAAGUACGUGAAAUUGUUGAAAGGGAAGCGCCUAUGACCAGACUUGGGCCCGGUGAAUCACCCAGCGUUCUCGCUGGUGCACUUCGCCGGGCACAGGCCAGCAUCAGUUUGGCGCGGGGGAGAAAGGCUUCGGGAAUGUGGCUCCCCCGGGAGUGUUAUAGCCCGUUGCGCAAUACCCUGCGCUGGACUGAGGUACGCGCAUUCGCAAGGAUGCUGGCGUAAUGGUCAUCAGCGACCCGUCUUGAAACACGGACCAAGGAGUCGUCUUCGUAUGCGAGUGUUCGGGUGUCAAACCCCUACGCGUAAUGAAAGUGAACGCAGGUGAGAGCUUCGGCGCAUCAUCGACCGAUCCUGAUGUUCUCGGAUGGAUUUGAGUAAGAGCAUACGGGGCCGGACCCGAAAGAAGGUGAACUAUGCCUGUAUAGGGUGAAGCCAGAGGAAACUCUGGUGGAGGCUCGCAGCGGUUCUGACGUGCGAAUCGAUCGUCAAAUAUGGGCAUGGGGGCGAAAGACUAAUCGAACCUUCUAGUAGCUGGUUUCCGCC